This 280-nucleotide long non-coding RNA is filed under the name Manihot esculenta (cassava). RNAcentral describes it as "long non-coding RNA (MESC_LNC009146)". Lineage: Eukaryota; Viridiplantae; Streptophyta; Magnoliopsida; Malpighiales; Euphorbiaceae. The record is from RNAcentral.
AACUGAAUAACUUGAUUGAAUGAUUAAUAUGAUCUGUUGCCCCUGUAUCCACUAUCCAGAUCAGAAAAAGAAAAUAAAGCUAAAUCCUGGCUGCUGUUCAAUGGUAGAGACAAGAUUAGAAGCAUGUGUAGCGGUAGUAGCCGGUGUAGUAGUCAUUUGUUGAAAAAGAUUGCUAUCCAUAUGAGUUUUAUGAAGAAGAGUCAUCAGAUUAUCAUACUGAUCUUGAGUAAGGGCAAGUUUAGACUGGUCUAGGAUGCCACUUCCCUGAGAAUUAUUAAUG